Molecule: ribosomal RNA, 406 nt
Filed under: uncultured bacterium
Lineage: Bacteria
Description: partial 16S ribosomal RNA
Rfam family: Bacterial small subunit ribosomal RNA
Source: RNAcentral
AUUGAACGCUGGCGGCAGGCCUAACACAUGCAAGUCGAACGAGUGGCGGACGGGUGAGUAAUGUCUGGGAAACUUCCUGAUGGAGGGGGGUAACUACUGGAAACGGUAGCUAAUACCGCAUACCAUCAGAUGUGCCCAGAUGGUAUUAGCUAGUUGGUGGGGUAACGGCUCACCAAGGCGACGAUCCCUAGCUGGACUGAGAGGAUGACCAGCCACCAUGGAACUGAGACGCGGCCCAGACUCCUACGGGAGGCAGCAGUGGGGAAUAUUGCACAAUGGGGGCAAGCCUGAUGCAGCCAUGCCGCGUGUAUGAAGAAGGACUUCGGGUUGUAAAGUACUUUCGGCGGGGAGGCGUUACCCGCAGAAGAAGCACCGGCUAACUCCGUGCCAGCAGCCGCGGUAAUUC